This 254-nucleotide ribosomal RNA is filed under the name uncultured microorganism. Its description in RNAcentral is "partial 16S ribosomal RNA". It matches the Rfam family "Archaeal small subunit ribosomal RNA", at positions 474 to 727 of the family's 1478-position model. The record is from RNAcentral.
CACCGGCGGCUCGAGUGGUGGCAACUUUUAUUGGGUCUAAAGCGUCCGUAGCCGGCUUGGCAAGUCCCCUGGGAAAUCUGGCGGCUUAACCGUCAGGCGUCCAGAGGAUACUGCCAGGCUUGGGACCGGGAGAGGUGAGAGGUACCUCAGGGGUAGGGGUGAAAUCUUGUGAUCCCUGAGGGACCACCAGUGGCGAAGGCGUCUCACUAGAACGGGUCCGACGGUCAGGGACGAAAGCUGGGGGCACGAACCGG